UGAGGAAUAUUGGUCAAUGGACGAGAGUCUGAACCAGCCAAGUAGCGUGCAGGAUGACGGCCCUAUGGGUUGUAAACUGCUUUUGUUUGGGAAUAAUCGACAUUACGUGUAAUGUUUUGCAUGUACCAUUCGAAUAAGGACCGGCUAAUUCCGUGCCAGCAGCCGCGGUAAUACGGAAGGUCCAGGCGUUAUCCGGAUUUAUUGGGUUUAAAGGGAGUGUAGGCGGUUGGUUAAGCGUGUUGUGAAAUGUAGAUGCUCAACAUCUGACUUGCAGCGCGAACUGGCUGACUUAAGUACACACAACGUAGGCGGAAUUCAUGGUGUAGCGGUGAAAUGCUUAGAUAUCAUGAAGAACUCCGAUUGCGAAGGCAGCUUACGGGAGUGUUACUAACGAUUAAGCUCGAAGGUGCGGGUAUCGAACAGG
This 424-nucleotide ribosomal RNA is filed under the name Verrucomicrobiota bacterium. RNAcentral's name for it is "Verrucomicrobia bacterium partial 16S ribosomal RNA". It matches the Rfam family "Bacterial small subunit ribosomal RNA", at positions 355 to 776 of the family's 1533-position model. The record is from RNAcentral. Lineage: Bacteria; Pseudomonadati; Verrucomicrobiota.